This 89-nucleotide transfer RNA is filed under the name Pelobates cultripes (western spadefoot toad). RNAcentral's name for it is "tRNA.Tyr". It matches the Rfam family "tRNA". From Rfam's summary of the family: Transfer RNA (tRNA) molecules are approximately 80 nucleotides in length. Lineage: Eukaryota; Metazoa; Chordata; Amphibia; Anura; Pelobatidae. The record is from RNAcentral.
CCUUCGAUAGCUCAGCUGGUAGAGCGUAGGACUGUAGUUGGUAUCCGUUAGCAAUCCUUAGGUCGCUGGUUCAAUUCCGGCUCGAAGGA